ACUUUAUUAGGAUAAUAGUAAUCCAUUGGUCUUAGGAACCCAAAAAUUUGGUGCAACUCCAAACUAAAGUA
This is a non-coding RNA of Dipodomys ordii (Ord's kangaroo rat), 71 nucleotides long. Lineage: Eukaryota; Metazoa; Chordata; Mammalia; Rodentia; Heteromyidae. The record is from Rfam.